Molecule: ribosomal RNA, 465 nt
Filed under: uncultured bacterium
Lineage: Bacteria
Description: partial 16S ribosomal RNA
Rfam family: Bacterial small subunit ribosomal RNA
Source: RNAcentral
GACGAACGCUGGCGGCGUGCUUAACACAUGCAAGUCGAACGGAAAGGCCCCUUUGGGGGUACUCGAGUGGCGAACGGGUGAGUAACACGUGAGUAACCUGCCCUUGACUUCGGGAUAACUUCAGGAAACUGGGGCUAAUACCGGAUAGGAAUCCUUGCUGCAUGGUGGGGGUUGGAAAGCUUCGGCGGUUUUGGAUGGACUCGCGGCUUAUCAGCUUGUUGGUGGGGUAGUGGCUUACCAAGGCUUUGACGGGUAGCCGGCCUGAGAGGGCGACCGGCCACAUUGGGACUGAGAUACGGCCCAGACUCCUACGGGAGGCAGCAGUGGGGAAUAUUGCACAAUGGGCGAAAGCCUGAUGCAGCAACGCCGCGUGCGGGAUGACGGCCUUCGGGUUGUAAACCGCUUUCAGCAGGGGCGAAGCUUGUGGUGACGGUACCUGCAGAAGAAGCACCGGCUAACUACGUG